UGGCGAACGGGUGAGUAACACGUGGGUGAUCUGCCCUGCACUUUGGGAUAAGCCUGGGAAACUGGGUCUAAUACCAGAUAGGACCAUGCUUUGGAUGGUGUGGUGGAAAGUUUUUUCGGUGUGGGAUGAGCUUGCGGCCUAUCAGCUUGUUGGUGGGGUAAUGGACUACCAAGGCGUCGACGGGUAGCCGGCCUGAGAGGGUGUACGGCCACAUUGGGACUGAGAUACGGCCCAG
This 235-nucleotide ribosomal RNA is filed under the name uncultured Actinomycetales bacterium. RNAcentral describes it as "partial 16S ribosomal RNA". It matches the Rfam family "Bacterial small subunit ribosomal RNA", at positions 96 to 334 of the family's 1533-position model. The record is from RNAcentral. Lineage: Bacteria; Bacillati; Actinomycetota; Actinomycetes; Actinomycetales.